This 587-nucleotide ribosomal RNA is filed under the name Colletotrichum sp. 11 JCP-2014. Its description in RNAcentral is "eukaryotic LSU rRNA". The stretch from base 236 to 389 matches the Rfam family "5.8S ribosomal RNA". The record is from RNAcentral. Lineage: Eukaryota; Fungi; Ascomycota; Sordariomycetes; Glomerellales; Glomerellaceae.
AGGGGUAGCUAAACUAAGCUAGGCAGGANUGNAAUGCNUAGGUUAGNGUNGNUAGCGAGCGAGUGAACGACACGAAGCAUAGCGAGGCGGCAGGCAGGGCUAGGCCGGUCCCCUGAAAAGGACGCCUCCCGGCCCGGACCGGACCCCCCGCGGGACCGGACCCGGCGCCCGCCGGAGGAUAACCAAACUCUAUUGUAACGACGUUUCUUCUGAGUGGCAUAAGCAAAAUAAUCAAAACUUUUAACAACGGAUCUCUUGGUUCUGGCAUCGAUGAAGAACGCAGCGAAAUGCGAUAAGUAAUGUGAAUUGCAGAAUUCAGUGAAUCAUCGAAUCUUUGAACGCACAUUGCGCCCGCCAGCAUUCUGGCGGGCAUGCCUGUUCGAGCGUCAUUUCAACCCUCAAGCUCUGCUUGGUGUUGGGGCUCUACGGUCGACGUAGGCCCUCAAAGGUAGUGGCGGACCCUCCCGGAGCCUCCUUUGCGUAGUAACAUUUCGUCUCGCACUGGGAUCCGGAGGGACUCUUGCCGUAAAACCCCCCAAUUUUCCAAAGGUUGACCUCGGAUCAGGUAGGAAUACCCGCUGAACUUA